Molecule: long non-coding RNA, 820 nt
Organism: Heterocephalus glaber (naked mole-rat)
Lineage: Eukaryota; Metazoa; Chordata; Mammalia; Rodentia; Bathyergidae
Source: RefSeq, a predicted model, not a curated record
UUUCUUGAAGUCAUAAUAAUCUCCUAGUCACUGGGAGGGCCGCAGAAGUAACAGGAAACCUGCUUAUACAGUAGCUAAAUAAACAGAUACAGUGCUAUGAGACAGAAAGGUUGGGUCAGUCAUCUUUCCAGGGAAAAACUGUGCUGACAGCGAUUUCAGUUGUACAUCAUGCUAUUCACUUGCCCCAGUACAGGCUAAUGUUCUAGAACGUGGUGAUUGUGACUUCUGACAAAGAAAGGAAUAAUGGAAUUCAUUUUGACCAAUCAAAAAACCAAACAUUUCAUUCCUAACAGCAUAUAGAAUGCAAGACUCUAAUUCACUGUAUUGGUUGGUUGAGUUUUGAAACCAUGGCCUGCUGACUUGCUUUGGCUCCUGACUGACAGUCUGCGGAUUUAGAAGGUAACUCUGCCACAGUCUUCCCCCGGGCAGCAGGGAGAGGAGCUGGAGUUCCCCAGGCUACAGCUGGAAAACCCCAAACCAUAGAAGAUAUGGAAAAAAGAGAACUAAAGUCCUAGUUCAGAUCUUCAGUGACACUCAUGAUCGUGAGUCAAGAGCAGGCACGGAGUAAAGACAGUCUCAGCCAGCACCAGAAGGCCAAAAGAAAAUUAAGGAUCCUCCAGACACUAAGCAAGACUCUAGUGAAGUGAGUUCUGCCUCUCAACACAGCUGCUAACAAAGAAUCAAGCCCUGCUUCCUCAAGCCCAACCUUCCACGGCGUCUUGGGCAAGGCUGGCCCUCACCAUGAUCUCUGAUCACUUUGCCCAGAAUCAAACUUUCUAGAGCAUCACAACACUGCCUGCUAUUAAAGUUUGGCACAGUU